CCUACGGGAGGCAGCAGUGAGGAAUAUUGGUCAAUGGCCGGGAGACUGAACCAGCCAAGCCGCGUGAGGGAUGAAGGUCCAAAGUAUCGUAAACCUCUUUUGUCAGGGAACAAAGGCGGUGACGUGUCCCCGGAUGAGUGUACCUGAAGAAAAAGCAUCGGCUAACUCCGUGCCAGCAGCCGCGGUAAUACGGAGGAUGCGAGCGUUAUCCGGAUUUAUUGGGUUUAAAGGGUGCGCAGGCGGUGUUUAAAGUCAGCGGUCAAAGUCCGGGGCUCAACCCCGGACUGCCGUUGAAACUGGCAGUCUCGAGUUGGAGAGAAGUAUGCGGAAUGCGCGGUGUAGCGGUGAAAUGCAUAGAUAUCGCGCAGAACUCCGAUUGCGAAGGCAGCAUGCCGGUGCCACACUGACGCUGAGGCACGAAAGCGUGGGUAUCGAACAGGAUUAGAUACCCUAGUAGUC
Molecule: ribosomal RNA, 459 nt
Filed under: uncultured bacterium
Lineage: Bacteria
Description: partial 16S ribosomal RNA
Rfam family: Bacterial small subunit ribosomal RNA
Source: RNAcentral